Molecule: ribosomal RNA, 996 nt
Filed under: human gut metagenome
Description: bacterial LSU rRNA
Rfam family: Bacterial large subunit ribosomal RNA
Source: RNAcentral
GAGUCAGACUGUGGGUGAUAAGAUUCAUAGUCGAAAGGGCAACAGCCCAGAUCGUCAGCUAAGGUCCCUAAAUGUACGUUAAGUGGUAAAGGAUGUGGGAUUGCACAGACAACCAGGAUGUUGGCUUAGAAGCAGCCACUCAUUUAAAGAGUGCGUAAUAGCUCACUGGUCGAGUGAUCCUGCGCCGAAAAUUUCCGGGGCUAAAACGUACUACCGAAGCUACGGCAUCAUUAUGAUGGGUAGGGGAGCUUCGUAUGCAGGCUGAAGCGUGACCGUAAGGACGCGUGGACAGUAUACGAGUGAGAAUGUUGGCAUGAGUAGCGAGACGUGGGUGAGAAUCCCACGGGCCGUAAACCCAAGGUUUCCAGGGGAAGGUUCGUCCGCCCUGGGUUAGUCGGGACCUAAGCCGAGGCCGAAAGGCGUAGGUGAUGGACAACAGGUUGAUAUUCCUGUACCGCCAAUAAACGCUUGAGAAAUGGGAUGACACAGUAGGAUAAGCUAACCACACUGUUGGUUAUGUGUGGCUAAGUACUGAGGCAGUCGAGAUAGGCAAAUCCGUCUUGAUAUUAAUGCUAGGGUACGAUGGGGAGCGAAAUUUAGUAGCGAAGUAGCUGAUUUCACACUGUCAAGAAAAGUCUCUAUCGAGUUUAAAGGCGCCCGUACCUCAAACCGACACAGGUGGGUGAGGAGAGUAUCCUAAGGCCAGCGAGAGAACUAUUGUUAAGGAACUCGGCAAAAUGACCCCGUAACUUAGGGAGAAGGGGUGCCAUCAUUACGAUGGCCGCAGAGAAUAGGCCCAAGCGACUGUUUACCAAAAACACAGGUUUCUGCUAAGUCGCAAGACGAUGUAUAGGAGCUGACGCCUGCCCGGUGCUGGAAGGUUAAGGGGAUCUGUUAGAGCAAUCGAAGCAGUGAACUUAAGCCCCAGUAAACGGCGGCCGUAACUAUAACGGUCCUAAGGUAGCGAAAUUCCUUGUCGGGUAAGUUCCGACCCGC